AACGCAUAUUGCGCUCGAGGCUUCGGCUAAGAGCAUGUCUGCCUCAGCGUCGGGUUAAUAUCACUACCUUUUAACCUGGUUAACACUGGGUUAAAACUCGUGCGUAGUAGGUCUGGCCUUUCCAGCGCACAGCUGGAUGGGCUGAAGCGCAGAGUGCUGAUUCAGGACCCUGUCAAGGGCCGCAACUGGGUAGGCAAUUAACACUUGCUAAUCAUGCUUAGUUGUUGGUCUUGGGACUUGGUUGGCCCUCCACCAGGAAACUUAACCCCACUUAUUUUCUCGACCUGAGCUCAGGCAAGAACACCCGCUGAACUUAA
RNAcentral lists this unclassified non-coding RNA (317 nucleotides) under uncultured fungus. RNAcentral describes it as "partial contains 5.8S rRNA and ITS2". Lineage: Eukaryota; Fungi. The record is from RNAcentral.